Nothoprocta perdicaria is the source of this 691-nucleotide long non-coding RNA. RefSeq lists it as uncharacterized. The transcript has 5 exons. The record is from RefSeq and is a predicted model, not a curated record. NCBI's taxonomy places the organism in Eukaryota, Metazoa, Chordata, Aves, Tinamiformes, Tinamidae.
AUUUUGUUUUUGCAAGUAGCAUAAUAUGGUACAGCAUUAAAUAUGAGAUGUGAACUCACCAUAGCAACCCCUGCAUCAUAUUGCAGAUAUGCUGCUUCUAAGCUACGGCGAAGGUUUCUGAAGAAAUACACAUGAAUGUGAGGUUCCAGUACAUUGUCUGUCACAUAAUUCAUCAGAGGCAGCACCAUUACCUGGCUAUUACAGUAAAGAAGAUUAAAGAAAGGUCAUCACAGAAGUACAGACAACAAAUUCAACUACUAGCUCCCUCAAAGCAGCUGAAGAAUUUUAUGGAUGUAACCUUCAUGUCUUUUCAAGCCAAAUCUCUCUAAUCUUUCAAAUCCAGUUUAAUCUUGUUAUCAACUCACUUGGCAGAAUUAAUAUUGUAAAAUGGGCUGUUUGCCAGGGUGCUUUACAUUCAGUUUCUUUUCUGCCAAUUCAAUUACAAAUGAUUUCUUUACAAGGUGUAAUCAUAUAUAAUGGAACCAAUGCAUUCAAAAAGACUAAAGAACUUACAGCUGAUGGCUGACUAUUUUACACCUCUGUAGAGGAAAAAGACAGAGCUCACGUCUGUUGAAAUCACUUCAGAAAGGGUCGCCUGAAACCUACAACUUCCUACGACUAGGAAGGAGAAAGACCUUGGUCUGGAAAAAAACUAGCUGGGGAGGAACUGUGCUGAAAAUGUCCUGGAGGU